RNAcentral lists this transfer RNA (77 nucleotides) under Oscillospiraceae bacterium. Its description in RNAcentral is "tRNA-Asn". It matches the Rfam family "tRNA". From Rfam's summary of the family: Transfer RNA (tRNA) molecules are approximately 80 nucleotides in length. Their secondary structure includes four short double-helical elements and three loops (D, anti-codon, and T loops). Further hydrogen bonds mediate the characteristic L-shaped molecular structure. tRNAs have two regions of fundamental functional importance: the anti-codon, which is responsible for specific mRNA codon recognition, and the 3' end, to which the tRNAs corresponding amino acid is attached (by aminoacyl-tRNA synthetases). tRNAs cope with the degeneracy of the genetic code in two manners: having more than one tRNA (with a specific anti-codon) for a particular amino acid; and 'wobble' base-pairing, i.e. permitting non-standard base-pairing at the 3rd anti-codon position. The record is from RNAcentral. Lineage: Bacteria; Bacillati; Bacillota; Clostridia; Eubacteriales; Oscillospiraceae.
UCCUCCGUAGCUCAGUCGGUAGUAGCACCUGACUGUUAAUCAGGGUGUCGCUGGUUCGAGUCCAGCCGGGGGAGCCA